Molecule: long non-coding RNA, 2008 nt
Organism: Cydia pomonella (codling moth)
Lineage: Eukaryota; Metazoa; Arthropoda; Insecta; Lepidoptera; Tortricidae
Exons: 2
Source: RefSeq, a predicted model, not a curated record
UGCCAAGUGCUACCUACGUCAAAUAUGUAUGCAUUCUUACUGUCAACUUCAUGCAAAGUUGGCGUGGUCAGAGUCUUGGUGCAUUUCAUACGUGUCAGCAAAAUUGAUUGGAAUAGAGAGGUAAAUUGUAAGAAAAAAACGUGCUCCUUAGUUUGACAUCCGAAACAGAUGGCGCUGUACGGCGCCUGUCAGAUUGGAAGCACGAAAUUGUCUUAGAUUUUACACAUCUUACUCAAUCAAUGCAUGUUUGGUGUCAGUUUUCUAACACCUAAUAUAUACGCCAUCUAUCAGUAAACUGCCGGACUUAUUAUCAUUGGAAAUUACGACGCUUUCUCGUUCCUGUCCCGUGUUCCAGAUUUACGUUAGUACGGACAUUUUUCAAUAGAUGACGCUAUAGAUGAUGAAGUUUAUGUAAAAUUAUACUGGCCACUAGAACACUGCGAAUAUGUUAUCUUAUCACUUCAUGGUUAUAAUAAUUAGAUGUAUUUCAACUAUUGACAGAUAGUAGUAAUAUUUAGACAGAUAGUAGAGAUUUGUGUAAGAUUGUCUUUAUACUUAAUAUUUAUAUAUUUAUUUAGGUAAUAUUUGACACACAUAAAUGGACACAAUGAAUUUAUAGCAAGCAGCUACCUCUCCUUCGACACUUUUUCUCCUAUUAAUAUCGGACGAGCUCGAGUAGGUAACAUGUAUAAAGUUCGAAUUUUAUUUUAAAGGAGAAAAUGGAACAAGUUACGCUUGCGACAGGACUUGAACCCGCAACCUCCGCAAUCCGUGCGUUUCUCUUAACCAAUUGAGCAAAGAAGCCUACCAGUGUAUAAAGUUCGACUUUAUGGAUGAGUUUUGUUCAAAAUACAUUUUAUACCAGCUCUAAUAGAAUAACCUCACCUAAAUAUCUAACAAUGAAAGUGAAAAGAAGGGUGUUCUGGUGUACGCUUUAGCACAAAUUACCCAUUUUAUCCUCGACUAUCCGCUCUGAUAUAAUGCGUUGUAUUGUGCUCUCGGUGUACAUUCUUUUAUCAGAAGAAAGUUCAGCUUACUAUUUUCCCAUUAAAGUGCUAUUAUGGGUGACUUACCUACUUAAUAAAAUAGGCACUCGAGAGAGAAAAAUAUGUAAUACCUUGUAACACAUUUUUUGCUGUUAUACAUAAACAUUGUAAUACGGUUGCAAAUCCCUAACAUGAAAUGUACAGUCAGCAUCAAUAGUAACGGAUGAAAAAACGCGCCAAAAGUAACUGAUAUUCCGGAUAAUUUUUCCAAAUAUAGAUAAAUCUCUAAAAUUCACGUUAUUAAGUAUAUCUUUUACAGUCUUCAUUGUUCUACAUAUAGAACCAUCACUUUUUGUUAAGCUGUUACAGAAUGGUAGAUACUUUUGAAGCGUUGUUUAGUCCUAACGGACUUUGAUGCUGACUGUACCUAUUUCAGAUUAGGAGAUUCAUUUAAAUGCGAAGCGACUCUUUGACCCUGUAUUGAGAGACCUUCGAUUUUAGAAUAACGUGGACGCAUGCCCCGGGCAUUUAAAAAUAAUUAUACCCGACAAUCCCUAAUCGUUUGUACCGUGGAUUGGGGUUACUUUGAUUCCUGGGUUUACUUUGAUAAAAACUUUACCUCAGGUUCAAACUCAGAUAUUACGCUCUCUGAAUGCAUCCUUUGGAUAUUUUUUUUACGGUUGGCAAGAUUGAACGUCACUGCCAGUUUGUGAUUUAUGUUCGAGGGAUAAACCACGUCGAUCGAUAAGAAAAAAAUUAAAAUAUAAUAAUGACUUGUUCAUUAAAAAAAAAGCGAUUAGUUUCCCGAGCAUAUCGGAACUACUAUGAAAAAGUUUUAAACCUGUGACAGAAGAGGUUGAAGCCAGGUUGUCGAUACGCCAAGCAUCCGAACAUCAUGGUGUUGUCGAUUACAUAUUGUUGGUAAAGUUUGAUAACUUUUUACUGUUCAAUAAUUAUGCUUCUAAACAUAAAUAACUAAAAUAUGACACUGUUUUGAAAUAAAGUAGAUUUUUCUUAAACUA